Lutra lutra (Eurasian river otter) is the source of this 284-nucleotide long non-coding RNA. RefSeq lists it as uncharacterized. Lineage: Eukaryota; Metazoa; Chordata; Mammalia; Carnivora; Mustelidae. The record is from RefSeq and is a predicted model, not a curated record. The transcript is spliced from 3 exons.
UUACCCUGAUGAGUGAGAGGGAAGCCGCGGAUGCAUUCAGACACCUAUGGCACUGCAGACUCCACGCACUCAGCAUUUUGUGUUUAGUGUCUUGUGUUUUUGAGAGCAGACAAAUAUUAUGAUGUCCUCGAUACCUCGAAACACCACGACCACCUCUUGUUCACCACCACAGCCCCUCUUGUAACCAAAAAUUUGCAAAAGGGGAGUUUGGAGUAUGCUGUGCAGAAGACAGCUGAAACUGAGUUGAGUUUUCAAACAUUCACCACCUUUAUCUCAUAUAAGCA